CAGCAUGGUAAUCUCAUGCCAGCACUUUCUUAAAGGAUGGGCCUGGAACUGGAACAGUGACACUCCUGCCACAUUUUAUUGGUCAAAAAAAUCAAGUCCAGCCCAGAUUCAGGAGGACAGGAAAUCGCCUCCAUCUCUUGAUGGAAGGAACAGCAUGUGCAUACAGGAAUGGGAGGAAUUGUUGGCAGCCACCUUUGGAGGCAAGCCACCCUUAGCUGAAGGCUGGGAAUGGGGAAAAGUGGGUUCUGGCUUCAUCUGCUCAGCAUGGACAACAAAGAAUGUGAUACAAGCUUCUCUCUUCAGCCUCAAGAGGAUUCCGCAGAGAGACCACAGAGAGACUAUGCUGAGAGCUACCUGGAUUCCUUCCCCAGUAAGCAGACUCCUAAGUUAUCCAAGAGAGAAAGAACCCACUAACGAGGACAUCAGUACUCAGAUGGAGGUUGUGCGGGAAGCCCAAGAGAGGACCCCAGAGGACACCUUUCAGCCAGUACAUCUAGAACACAUUGGAACCCUGAGCUCAAACUGCUGAAGAUUCUCCAGGCCACUGAUUAUGAGGAUGAGCAUAACAAACCCUGUGGGAUGCAGAGUAAAGUCUCUGGAGGCAUAGGCAGAAGACAUCACUGGGGCAGCCUUGUUCUACAGCAGGAUGCUUAGAAUCCUGAGGACAGCAACUUUGGACAUGAGGGCUGGAAGGAGAGGGGACUUCUGCUCCCUGGAGCCUUCACCAGGACCCAGCAAGGGGUUUGUUUCCUUCACUCACCUCUACGUGCCUCUAAUAUGAGGGAGAAAAAGUCCUACCCCUUUUAAACUUAGAUUUUUUCCCCCUCUUUCAUUAGGGCCAGAAUACUUUUGGUGAUUAAACACAGCUGUUGCUUAAUCAAAAGACUCAUUUCCUGUUUCUGGAAGGAGGGAAGAAAUAUUUCUUGGCAUCUGUUUUCUGGGUCACUUUCAUCUCUUCUCUGAAGCUCUGCAAGGUUUCCAGUUGUAGAAAGAUGAAUUUGACCUGUAGGAACCUCUUCUGUGUUUCUAGCUUUUCCUCUAAUUCUCUGGAACUGGUUUCUUUUGAGGCUGGCAUCCACAUCAUUA
Long non-coding RNA from Hipposideros armiger (great roundleaf bat), 1086 nucleotides. RefSeq lists it as uncharacterized. The record is from RefSeq and is a predicted model, not a curated record. The transcript is spliced from 3 exons. Lineage: Eukaryota; Metazoa; Chordata; Mammalia; Chiroptera; Hipposideridae.